Molecule: transfer RNA, 88 nt
Filed under: Planotetraspora phitsanulokensis
Lineage: Bacteria; Bacillati; Actinomycetota; Actinomycetes; Streptosporangiales; Streptosporangiaceae
Description: tRNA-Asp
Source: RNAcentral
GGUGGCUCAGGGCGCGGCCCGUCCCCGUGUCGAUCGCGUACGCGCCGAUGCGUCCGUGGUGCUGUUGUUCGAGGCGGCGGAGCCGCCG